Molecule: ribosomal RNA, 246 nt
Filed under: uncultured bacterium
Lineage: Bacteria
Description: partial 16S ribosomal RNA
Rfam family: Bacterial small subunit ribosomal RNA
Source: RNAcentral
GAUGGCGACCGGCGCACGGGUGAGUAACGCGUAUGCAACCUGCCUGAUACCGGGGUAUAGCCCAUGGAAACGUGGAUUAACACCCCAUAGUACUUUUAUCCUGCCUGGGAUGGGAGUUAAAUGUUCAAGGUAUCGGAUGGGCAUGCGUCCUAUUAGUUAGUUGGCGGGGUAACAGCCCACCAAGACGAUGAUAGGUAGGGGUUCUGAGAGGAAGGUCCCCCACAUUGGAACUGAGACACGGUCCAA